GGCUUUAUAGUCAAAUUAUGAUAUUAAAUUGCAAGUUUAAAGUUAUGGAUAAUUCCUUUAAAGCUU
This 66-nucleotide transfer RNA is filed under the name Tessaratoma papillosa. Its description in RNAcentral is "tRNA-Cys". The record is from RNAcentral. Lineage: Eukaryota; Metazoa; Arthropoda; Insecta; Hemiptera; Tessaratomidae.